CUCUGACUGACUCCAGAGCUAACUGUUGGCCUUUCUUCCCAACCCCGUAUUAAGUGACUUCAUGUUGGUAGCUUAAAAUUGGCCAUGGUAGAAAUAUAAGUCAACAAACAGUACAGAUCAGUCCUUCUCCCCAAAUUGGCUGUUACAUAUCUAUCAGCGUAUUACUGACAUGGAUGGUAGAAACUAGGGGAGUGAAUUCUCUCCCAUUGUGACCCUACUGGGCAUUUGAGCCUGGUUCAAGAAAGGCCUCAAGGACUUUGCAGGCACUACAUUCUUUUAUGGCUGGAAUAUUGCUGAGGGCUCUGGGUUCUAUACUUUGGUGGAGAGGCUGAUAAGGAGAAAGGUGGAGUGAGGAGUGACAAGCUAUGAUGGGUCACUUUAGGUCUCAGUUGGUGAGAUAAAAUGAGAGGCCGGUGCCAGAAGAAAGGCCUUCCCUUCCUUGGCUUCUCUAGUUCAGUAGAAGCUGGUCAGGCGCGGCAGGGUGGAGAAGUAAGGGAAGAUCACUUGGAGAGAUUGAGGACCGCUGUGGUCCUGUGAGCUGUCCUUCCCCUCUCCACCACCAGAAGGCGCUCUUGCGCGGUCUCCAGAACCAUCGCACCAAUCCCACUUGGCGACGCUCUAGUCGCCGCUUCUCUAAGGACGGCGGGGCGGCCUCGGUGCGCGCAUCCUGUGGGUGCGGGUUAUGGCGCGGCUCCCGAAGCUCGCGGUCUUCGAUCUGGAUUACACGCUCUGGCCGUUCUGGGUGGACACGCAUGUGGACCCCCCGUUCCACAAGAGGAGUGAUGGAACUGUACGCGACAGGCGGGGGCAGACGGUCCGGCUGUACCCGGAGGUGCCUGAGGUCCUGGAACGGUUGCAGGGCUUGGGUGUACCCGUCGCGGCCGCCUCACGGACAGGUGAGGUUGAAGGGGCCAAUCAGCUAUUGGAGCUCUUUGACCUUGUCAGAUACUUUGUUCAUCGGGAAAUCUAUCCAGGCAGCAAGAUCACACACUUCGAGAGGUUGCAGCGGAAGACUGGAGUUCCUCUCUCCCAGAUGAUCUUCUUUGAUGAUGAGAGGCGGAAUAUUGUAGACGUCAGCAAACUGGGUGUUACUUGCAUUCAUGUCCAGAACGGAAUGAACCUUCAGAUCCUAACCCAAGGAUUAGAGACAUUUGCAAAGGCCCAAGCUGGACCCUGAAGCCCAAUCUUGUGAAUGAACCUCAUUUGAGGCAUAGAACCGCAGGAACACCAGGAGGGCAUUUUCAGGUGCAUUUGUAAAUUAUUAAAGUGAAUUUCUGUGUGACAGAAGAGAUCUAGCCAGUGUGGGUUGUUUCUGCUUUUUUUAGACUGUGACCUGGGGUGGGCGACUGGGAGGUUCCUGGACCGGAGUGUGACGCGUUAGACCGCAUCAGGUCCUGCCUUAUGAACUUGUGGCAAACCCAAGAACAUGAUCGCUUUGUACCCAUCCAUCCCCACCCCUCUCCGGAGCUCUGUCAAGGGCGUGAAGAACUCUUCCACUGGCCCCAAGCAGUGGGCUGCAUUACCCGGCACAUUAACCUCCAGGAAACAAAGACUUUGUUUUGGGGUGGGGGUUGGGCGGCCCUUUAUGUCGUGGGAAACCCAGCUGCCGCUUUAAGAGGAGCACGUGGCUUUGAGGCUGGUGUCUCACACGUGAUAGCAGUGGCCUCGCUAGCGCUAGUUGAUGAUGUCGCCGCGGUGCCCAAGGAGGGAUUGGCCGAGGCGGGUCUCGAAGUCGUGAGCCCCGCCCUCCCGGGAGCGAGGCGGAAGCGCGCGGGCGGCCGUGGGGCGGAGGCGGGAGAGGCGAGGGUCGCGAUGAGUGGUCUCGGCCGACUCUUCGGGAGGGGGAAAAAGGAGAAGGGGCCAACCCCUGAAGAAGCAAUACAGAAACUGAAGGAGACGGAGAAGAUACUGAUCAAGAAACAGGAGUUUCUGGAGCAGAAGAUUCAGCAGGAGCUACAAACCGCCAAGAAGCAUGGGACCAAGAAUAAGAGAGCUGCCCUACAGGCUUUGCGGAGAAAGAAAAGGUUGGAACAGCAGCUGGCACAAACCGACGGGACAUUAUCCACCCUGGAGUUUCAGCGUGAGGCCAUUGAGAAUGCUACCACCAAUGCAGAAGUGCUUCGUACCAUGGAGCUUGCUGCCCGAGGCAUGAAGAAGGCCUACCAGGACAUGGACAUUGACAAGGUGGAUGAACUGAUGGCUGACAUCACAGAACAACAGGAGGUGGCCCAGCAGAUCUCAGAUGCCAUUUCUCGGCCCAUGGGCUUUGGAGAUGAUGUGGAUGAGGAUGAACUGUUGGAGGAGCUAGAGGAACUGGAGCAGGAGGAAUUGGCCCGAGAGUUGUUACAUGUGGGCGACAAGGAGGAAGAACCCCCAGUCACGCUGCCCAGUGUACCCUCCACACACCUGCCUGCAGUGCCAGCUCCCAAAGCGGAUGAAGAUGAAGAAGCACUAAAGCAGUUGGCCGAGUGGGUGUCCUGAUGAGUCUGGGCUUGUCUACCCGAUGCUGCCUUUGUUGUUCGCUUUUCCUUAAGUGCCAAGUGCUCAGCUAGAGGAACGUGAACAUGGCCUGGUUGGGAGGUCCUCCUGGGGGUGGUGGCGUGACCCUGCCUGAGAAAAGGGUCCUUGGCUCAACUCUGAAGAGGGAUCUUGGUGUGGGAGGAGCCCCGGCUCCCUUGGCUAGCAGUUACAAUGCCUCGUUCCCAAUAAAACUGGGCAGAUGGAACCCCA
Non-coding RNA from Vicugna pacos (alpaca), 2730 nucleotides. Lineage: Eukaryota; Metazoa; Chordata; Mammalia; Artiodactyla; Camelidae. The record is from RefSeq and is a predicted model, not a curated record.